GAUGAACGCUGACAGAAUGCUUAACACAUGCAAGUCAACUUGAACUUCGGUUUGGGUGGCGGACGGGUGAGUCGCGCGUAAAGAACUUGCCUCACAGAUAGGGACAACAUUUGGAAACGAAUGCUAAUACCUGAUAUUAUGAUUAUAUGGCAUCGUAUAAUUAUGAAAGCUAUAUGCGCUGUGAGAGAGCUUUGCGUCCCAUUAGCUAGUUGGAGAGGUAACGGCUCACCAAGGCGAUGAUGGGUAGCCGGCCUGAGAGGGUGAUCGGCCACAAGGGGACUGAGACACGGCCCUUACUCCUACGGGAGGCAGCAGUGGGGAAUAUUGGACAAUGGACCAAGAGUCUGAUCCAGCAAUUCUGUGUGCACGAUGAAGUUUUUCGGAAUGUAAAGUGCUUUCAGUUGGGAAGAAAAAAAUGACGGUACCAACAGAAGAAGUGACGGCUAAAUACGUG
RNAcentral lists this ribosomal RNA (454 nucleotides) under uncultured bacterium. Its description in RNAcentral is "partial 16S ribosomal RNA". It matches the Rfam family "Bacterial small subunit ribosomal RNA", at positions 28 to 507 of the family's 1533-position model. The record is from RNAcentral.